This 1347-nucleotide ribosomal RNA is filed under the name uncultured bacterium. RNAcentral describes it as "partial 16S ribosomal RNA". It matches the Rfam family "Bacterial small subunit ribosomal RNA", at positions 28 to 1382 of the family's 1533-position model. The record is from RNAcentral.
GACGAACGCUGGCGGCGUGCUUAACACAUGCAAGUCGAACGGAAAGGCCCUGCUUUUGUGGGGUGCUCGAGUGGCGAACGGGUGAGUAACACGUGAGUAACCUGCCCUUGACUUUGGGAUAACUUCAGGAAACUGGGGCUAAUACCGGAUAGGAGCUCCUGCUGCAUGGUGGGGGUUGGAAAGUUUCGGCGGUUGGGGAUGGACUCGCGGCUUAUCAGCUUGUUGGUGGGGUAGUGGCUUACCAAGGCUUUGACGGGUAGCCGGCCUGAGAGGGUGACCGGCCACAUUGGGACUGAGAUACGGCCCAGACUCCUACGGGAGGCAGCAGUGGGGAAUAUUGCACAAUGGGCGGAAGCCUGAUGCAGCAACGCCGCGUGCGGGAUGACGGCCUUCGGGUUGUAAACCGCUUUCGCCUGUGACGAAGCGUGAGUGACGGUAAUGGGUAAAGAAGCACCGGCUAACUACGUGCCAGCAGCCGCGGUGAUACGUAGGGUGCGAGCGUUGUCCGGAUUUAUUGGGCGUAAAGGGCUCGUAGGUGGUUGAUCGCGUCGGAAGUGUAAUCUUGGGGCUUAACCCUGAGCGUGCUUUCGAUACGGGUUGACUUGAGGAAGGUAGGGGAGAAUGGAAUUCCUGGUGGAGCGGUGGAAUGCGCAGAUAUCAGGAGGAACACCAGUGGCGAAGGCGGUUCUCUGGGCCUUUCCUGACGCUGAGGAGCGAAAGCGUGGGGAGCGAACAGGCUUAGAUACCCUGGUAGUCCACGCUGUAAACGGUGGGUACUAGGUGUGGGGUCCAUUCCACGGGUUCCGUGCCGUAGCUAACGCUUUAAGUACCCCGCCUGGGGAGUACGGCCGCAAGGCUAAAACUCAAAGGAAUUGACGGGGCCCCGCACAAGCGGCGGAGCAUGCGGAUUAAUUCGAUGCAACGCGUAGAACCUUACCUGGGUUUGACAUGGAUCGGGAGUGCUCAGAGAUGGGUGUGCCUCUUUUGGGGUCGGUUCACAGGUGGUGCAUGGCUGUCGUCAGCUCGUGUCGUGAGAUGUUGGGUUAAGUCCCGCAACGAGCGCAACCCUUGUUCACUGUUGCCAGCACGUUAUGGUGGGGACUCAGUGGAGACCGCCGGGGUCAACUCGGAGGAAGGUGGGGAUGACGUCAAGUCAUCAUGCCCCUUAUGUCCAGGGCUUCACGCAUGCUACAAUGGCUGGUACAGAGAGUGGCGAGCCUGUGAGGGUGAGCGAAUCUCGGAAAGCCGGUCUCAGUUCGGAUUGGGGUCCGCAACUCGACCUCAUGAAGUCGGAGUCGCUAGUAAUCGCAGAUCAGCAACGCUGCGGUGAAUACGUUCCCGGGGGCU